GCUCGUUUGGUUUGGCAGACACUAAAAUGGAAACGAUACAGAGAUUAGCAUGGCCUCUAUGCAAAGAUGAGACCCAAAUUUGUAAAGCAUUCCAUAUUUUU
This is a small nuclear RNA of Aotus nancymaae (Ma's night monkey), 101 nucleotides long. Lineage: Eukaryota; Metazoa; Chordata; Mammalia; Primates; Aotidae. The record is from Ensembl.